This 5587-nucleotide long non-coding RNA is filed under the name Chlamydomonas reinhardtii. RNAcentral describes it as "long non-coding RNA (CREI_LNC001091)". The record is from RNAcentral. Lineage: Eukaryota; Viridiplantae; Chlorophyta; Chlorophyceae; Chlamydomonadales; Chlamydomonadaceae.
GCGGCGGGCUGGGACACGUCGCCGGAAUCUGCGUGCCGUUGUACACAUACACCGCAGACGGCACCGCGCCGCACAUCAGCGAGUUGCCGCUGAGGUCCACACGGAACAGACCCGUCAGCACGCUCCAGCCAGAGGGAACAGGCCCGGUUAGCAGAUUCCCGCUCAAGUCCAGCGUGCGCAGGUUGCUCAGCGCAGACCACUCGGCAGGCAGCUGGCCAGAGUACCGGUUGCCCAGCAGCUCCAGGCGAGUCAGAGACGUCAGGACACUCCACGACCGCGGUAACGUGCCCGUCAGGCUGUUGUUGGUGGCGCGAAUGGUGCUCAGGCUGGACACGAACGCCCACGACUCCGGCAAGGAGCCCGUGAGGUUGCGCUGGUUCAGCACCACCGUGGUGGGCUGUCCUGCCGUGCACGACACGCCCGUCCACGCAGCCGUGCAGGGGUCGCUGCUGGUGUUCCAGCCCAGAAUCGCAGCCGGCAACGGACUGGCCGUCACCCGCAGGUCCGCAAGCGCAUAGCCAAACGAAGGCGGAGGUGGAGACGGAGGCGCCGGCGAUGGAGGGGCAGGGCUGGGAGGCGCAGGGCUGGGAGGCACAGGAGGCGGAGACGGCGGGGACGGGCACGCCAGACCAACCUGCGUGCCGCUGCUCGUCACCGGACUGCCAGCAGCCCACGGCGUGGGGAUGCUGCCACACAGUGCGCCGUUAUUGUCCAGCCACAGGAGCUGCAGCGCGCCCAUGCCGCCAGGACCAGCCCAGGCGGCCGGAAUGGUCGAGUAGAAGCCGUUGCCCGACAGGUCCAGCUCCGUCAGACGCGUCAGCGCGGACCAAGACACAGGCAGCAGGCCGCCGAGGCCCGGCCCGUUGUUGGCCACGCUGACGUACUCCAGCUGCGUCAUCUGGGAGUACGAGUCCGGAAGCGUGCCCGUCAGCGUGUUGCCGCUCAACGUCACUGAGCGCAGCGUGCGCACUUGCACCAGGCUGGCCGGCAGGGGGCCAGCCAGCCGCGGCGAGGUGGACGGCAGGCUCAGGUCCACCACGUUGCCGCUGCCGUCGCAGCUGACGCCGUACCAGCUGGUGCAUGGGUUCGGAUGCAUCACGUCGUCCCAUGUGCUGAGCGCCGUGGAGUUGCCCAGCUCGUAUUUGACCUGCAGCAGCGCGUUGGCUGCAGUGGGCGGAGCGGGCGGCGCCGGGCUGGGCGGCGCGGGGCUGGGCGGCCGCGGGCUAGGCGGGUCCGGGCUGGGUGGCGUGGGGCUGGGUGGUGCCGGGCUGGGCGGUACAGGCGGCGCGGGGCUGGGCGGCACGGGCGAAGGGGGCGCCGGUGAGGGCGGAGGAGAUGGCGCUGGCGGCUCCGGGCUGGGCGGCAUGGGGGACGGCGGCUCUGGGCUGGGCGGUGCAGGUGAAGGGGGCGCUGGAGACGGCGGCACAGGAGGCGCAGGGCUCGGCGGUACCGGAGGUGCCGGUGACGGUGGCUCUGGGCUGGGCGGUGCAGGUGAAGGGGGCGCUGGAGGCGCAGGGCUGGGAGGAACAGGCGGCGCAGGGCUCGGGGGCGCUGGGCUGGGCGGCACAGGCGACGGAGGUGGGCUGGGAGGCGUAGGCGGAGGCGGCGGGCUGGGACACGUCGCCGGAAUCUGCGUGCCGUUGUACACAUACACCGCAGACGGCACCGCGCCGCACAUCAGCGAGUUGCCACUGAGGUCCACGCGGAACAGACCCGUCAGCACGCUCCAGCCAGAUGGAACAGGCCCGGUCAGCAGAUUCCCGCUCAGGUCCAGCGUGCGCAGGUUGCUCAGCGCAGACCACUCGGCAGGCAGCUGGCCAGAGUACCGGUUGCCCAGCAGCUCCAGGCGAGUCAGAGACGUCAGGACACUCCACGACCGCGGUAACGUGCCCGUCAGGCUGUUGUUGGUGGCGCGAAUGGUGCUCAGGCUGGACACGAACGCCCACGACUCCGGCAAGGAGCCCGUGAGGUUGCGCUGGUUCAGCACCACCGUGGUGGGCUGUCCUGCCGUGCACGACACGCCCGUCCACGCAGCCGUACAGGGGUCGCUGCUGGUGUUCCAGCCCAGAAUCGCAGCCGGCAACGGACUGGCCGUCACCCGCAGGUCCGCAAGCGCAUAGCCAAACGAAGGCGGAGGUGGAGACGGAGGCGCCGGCGACGGAGGGGCAGGGCUGGGAGGCGCAGGGCUGGGAGGCACAGGAGGCGGAGACGGCGGGGACGGGCACGCCAGACCAACCUGCGUGCCGCUGCUCGUCACCGGACUGCCAGCAGCCCACGGCGUGGGGAUGCUGCCACACAGUGCGCCGUUGUUGUCCAGCCACAGAAGCUGCAGCGCGCCCAUGCCGCCAGGACCAGCCCAGGCGGCCGGAAUGGUCGAGUAGAAGCCGUUGCCCGACAGGUCCAGCUCCGUCAGACGCGUCAGCGCGGACCAAGACACAGGCAGCAGGCCGCCGAGGCCCGGCCCGUUGUUGGCCACGCUGACGUACUCCAGCUGCGUCAUCUGGGAGUACGAGUCCGGAAGCGUGCCCGUCAGCGUGUUGCCGCUCAACGUCACUGAGCGCAGCGUGCGCACUUGCACCAGGCUGGCCGGCAGGGGGCCAGCCAGCCGCGGCGAGGUGGACGGCAGGCUCAGGUCCACCACGUUGCCGCUGCCGUCGCAGCUGACGCCGUACCAGCUGGUGCAUGGGUUCGGAUGCAUCACGUCGUCCCACGUGCUGAGCGCCGUGGAGUUGCCCAGCUCGUAUUUGACCUGCAGCAGCGCGUUGGCUGCAGUGGGCGGAGCGGGCGGCGCCGGGCUGGGCGGCGCGGGGCUGGGCGGCCGCGGGCUAGGCGGGUCCGGCCUGGGUGGCGUGGGGCUGGGUGGUGCCGGGCUGGGCGGUACAGGCGGCGCGGGGCUGGGCGGCACGGGCGAAGGGGGCGCCGGUGAGGGCGGAGGAGAUGGCGCUGGCGGCUCCGGGCUGGGCGGCAUGGGGGACGGCGGCUCUGGGCUGGGCGGUGCAGGUGACGGGGGCGCUGGAGACGGCGGCACAGGAGGCGCAGGGCUCGGCGGUACCGGAGGUGCCGGUGACGGUGGCUCUGGGCUGGGCGGUGCAGGUGAAGGGGGCGCUGGAGGCGCAGGGCUGGGAGGAACAGGCGGCGCAGGGCUCGGGGGCGCUGGGCUGGGCGGCUCCGGAGAAGGCGGCACAGGAGGCGCAGGGCUGGGAGGAACAGGCGGCGCAGGGCUCGGAGGCGCUGGGCUGGGCGGCACAGGCGACGGAGGCGGGCUGGGAGGCGUAGGCGGAGGCGGCGGGCUGGGACACGUCGCCGGAAUCUGCGUGCCGUUGUACACAUACACCGCAGACGGCACCGGGCCGCACAUCAGCGAGUUGCCACUGAGGUCCACGCGGAACAGACCCGUCAGCACGCUCCAGCCAGAGGGAACAGGCCCGGUCAACAGAUUCCCACUCAGGUCCAGCGUGCGCAGGUUGCUCAGCGCAGACCACUCGGCAGGCAGCUGGCCAGAGUACCGGUUGCCCAGCAGCUCCAGGCGAGUCAGAGACGUCAGGACACUCCACGACCGCGGUAACGUGCCCGUCAGGCUGUUGUUGGUGGCGCGAAUGGUGCUCAGGCUGGACACGAACGCCCACGACUCCGGCAAGGAGCCCGUGAGGUUGCGCUGGUUCAGCACCACCGUGGUGGGCUGUCCUGCCGUGCACGACACGCCCGUCCACGCAGCCGUACAGGGGUCGCUGCUGGUGUUCCAGCCCAGAAUCGCAGCCGGCAACGGACUGGCCGUCACCCGCAGGUCCGCAAGCGCAUAGCCAAACGAAGGCGGAGGUGGAGACGGAGGCGCCGGCGACGGAGGGGCAGGGCUGGGAGGCGCAGGGCUGGGAGGCACAGGAGGCGGAGACGGCGGGGACGGGCACGCCAGACCAACCUGCGUGCCGCUGCUCGUCACCGGACUGCCAGCAGCCCACGGCGUGGGGAUGCUGCCACACAGUGCGCCGUUGUUGUCCAGCCACAGGAGCUGCAGCGCGCCCAUGCCGCCAGGACCAGCCCAGGCGGCCGGAAUGGUCGAGUAGAAGCCGUUGCCCGACAGGUCCAGCUCCGUCAGACGCGUCAGCGCGGACCAAGACACAGGCAGCAGGCCGCCGAGGCCCGGCCCGUUGUUGGCCACGCUGACGUACUCCAGCUGCGUCAUCUGGGAGUACGAGUCCGGAAGCGUGCCCGUCAGCGUGUUGCCGCUCAACGUCACUGAGCGCAGCGUGCGCACUUGCACCAGGCUGGCCGGCAGGGGGCCAGCCAGCCGCGGCGAGGUGGACGGCAGGCUCAGGUCCACCACGUUGCCGCUGCCGUCGCAGCUGACGCCGUACCAGCUGGUGCAUGGGUUCGGAUGCAUCACGUCGUCCCACGUGCUGAGCGCCGUGGAGUUGCCCAGCUCGUAUUUGACCUGCAGCAGCGCGUUGGCUGCAGUGGGCGGAGCGGGCGGCGCCGGGCUGGGCGGCGCGGGGCUGGGCGGCCGCGGGCUAGGCGGGUCCGGGCUGGGUGGCGUGGGGCUGGGUGGUGCCGGGCUGGGCGGUACAGGCGGCGCCGGGCUGGGCGGCACGGGCGAAGGGGGCGCCGGUGAGGGCGGAGGAGAUGGCGCUGGCGGCUCCGGGCUGGGCGGUGCAGGUGAAGGGGGCGCUGGAGACGGCGGAACAGGAGGCGCAGGGCUCGGCGGUACCGGAGGUGCCGGUGACGGUGGCUCUGGGCUGGGCGGUGCAGGUGAAGGGGGCGCUGGAGGCGCAGGGCUGGGAGGAACAGGCGGCGCAGGGCUCGGGGGCGCUGGGCUGGGCGGCUCCGGAGAAGGCGGCACAGGAGGCGCAGGGCUGGGAGGAACAGGCGGCGCAGGGCUCGGAGGCGCUGGGCUGGGCGGCACAGGCGACGGAGGCGGGCUGGGAGGCGUAGGCGGAGGCGGCGGGCUGGGACACGUCGCCGGAAUCUGCGUGCCGUUGUACACAUACACCGCAGACGGCACCGGGCCGCACAUCAGCGAGUUACCACUGAGGUCCACGCGGAACAGACCCGUCAGCACGCUCCAGCCAGAGGGAACAGGCCCGGUCAACAGAUUCCCGCUCAGGUCCAGCGUGCGCAGGUUGCUCAGCGUAGACCACUCGGCAGGCAGCUGGCCAGAGUACCGGUUGCCCAGCAGCUCCAGGCGAGUCAGAGACGUCAGGACACUCCACGACCGCGGUAACGUGCCCGUCAGGCUGUUGUUGGUGGCGCGAAUGGUGCUCAGGCUGGACACGAACGCCCACGACUCCGGCAAGGAGCCCGUGAGGUUGCGCUGGUUCAGCACCACCGUGGUGGGCUGUCCUGCCGUGCACGACACGCCCGUCCACGCAGCCGUGCAGGGGUCGCUGCUGGUGUUCCAGCCCAGAAUCGCAGCCGGCAACGGACUGGCCGUCACCCGCAGGUCCGCAAGCGCAUAGCCAAACGAAGGCGGAGGUGGAGACGGAGGCGCCGGCGACGGAGGGGCAGGGCUGGGAGGCGCAGGGCUGGGAGGCACAGGAGGCGGAGACGGCGGGGACGGGCACGCCAGACCAAUCUGCGUGCCGCUGCUCGUCAC